ACGGAGGGAGCAAACGUUGUUCGGAAUUACUGGGCAUAAAGGGCGCGUAGGCGGCGCGGUAAGUGAGAUGUGAAAUCUUUCGGCUUAACCGGAAAAGCGCAUCUUAGACUGCCGUGCUUGAGUGCGGUAGAGGUGAGUGGAACUCUAGGUGGAGCGGUGAAAUGCGUUGAUAUCUAGAGGAACACCGGAGGCGAAGGCGACUCACUGGGCCGUUUCUGACGCUGAGGCGCGAAAGCUAGGGGAGCAAAAAG
RNAcentral lists this ribosomal RNA (251 nucleotides) under uncultured prokaryote. Its description in RNAcentral is "partial 16S rRNA". It matches the Rfam family "Bacterial small subunit ribosomal RNA", at positions 525 to 775 of the family's 1533-position model. The record is from RNAcentral.